This 663-nucleotide ribosomal RNA is filed under the name uncultured bacterium. RNAcentral describes it as "bacterial SSU rRNA". It matches the Rfam family "Bacterial small subunit ribosomal RNA", at positions 244 to 907 of the family's 1533-position model. The record is from RNAcentral.
GCUUGUUGGUGGGGUAACGGCCUACCAAGGCGACGAUGUCUAGGGGCUCUGAGAGGAGAAUCCCCCACACUGGUACUGAGACACGGACCAGACUCCUACGGGAGGCAGCAGUAAGGAAUAUUGGUCAAUGGAGGGAACUCUGAACCAGCCAUGCCGCGUGCAGGAAGACGGCCCUACGGGUUGUAAACUGCUUUUGCACGGGAAUAACCCUCAUUAUGUAUAAUGAGCUGAAUGUACCGUGAGAAUAAGGAUCGGCUAACUCCGUGCCAGCAGCCGCGGUAAUACGGAGGAUCCGAGCGUUAUCCGGAAUUAUUGGGUUUAAAGGGUGCGCAGGCGGGGAUCUAAGUCAGGGGUGAAAGACGGUGGCUCAACCAUCGCAGUGCCUUUGAUACUGGAUUUCUUGAAUGUAUCUGAGGUAGGCGGAAUGUGGCAAGUAGCGGUGAAAUGCAUAGAUAUGCCACAGAACACCAAUUGCGAAGGCAGCUUACCAAAGUAUGAUUGACGCUGAGGCACGAAAGCGUGGGGAUCGAACAGGAUUAGAUACCCUGGUAGUCCACGCCCUAAACGAUGAACACUCGAUGUCGGCGAUAGACAGUCGGCGUCCAAGCGAAAGCGUUAAGUGUUCCACCUGGGGAGUACGCCCGCAAGAUUAAAACUCAAAUG